RNAcentral lists this ribosomal RNA (984 nucleotides) under uncultured Klebsiella sp. Its description in RNAcentral is "bacterial SSU rRNA". It matches the Rfam family "Bacterial small subunit ribosomal RNA". The record is from RNAcentral. Lineage: Bacteria; Pseudomonadati; Pseudomonadota; Gammaproteobacteria; Enterobacterales; Enterobacteriaceae.
GCGAAUUCGCCCUUAGAGUUGAUUAUGGCUCAGAUUGAACGCUGGCGGCAGGCCUAACUACAUGCAAGUCGAGCGGUAGCACAGGAGAGCUUGCUUUCUGGGUGACGAGUGGCGGACGGGUGAGUAAUGUCUGGGAAACUGCCUGCAUGGAGUGGGGAUAACUACUGGAAAACGGUAGCUAAUACCGCAUAACGUCGCAAGACCAAAGUGGGGGACCUUCGGGCCUCUUGCCAUCAAGAUGUGCCCAGAUGGGAUUAGCUAGAUAGGUGGGGUAAUGGCUCACCUAAGGCGACGAUCCCUAGCUGGUCUGAGAGGAUGACCAGCCACACUGGAACUGAGACACGGUCCAGACUCCUACGGGAGGCAGCAUUGGGGAAUAUUGCACAAUGGGCUCAAGCCUGGUGCAAGCCAUGCCGCGUGUAUGAAGAAGGCCUUCGGUUUGUAAAGUACUUUCAGCGGGGAGGAAGGCGAUAAGGUUAAUAACCUUGUCGAUUGACGUUACUCGCAGAAGAAGCACCGGCUAACUCCGUGCCAGCAGCCGCGGUAAUACGGAGGGUGCAAGCGUUAAUCGGAAUUACUGGGCGUAAAGCGCACGCAGGCGGUCUGUCAAGUCGGAUGUGAAAUCCCCGGGCUCAACCUGGGAACUGCAUUCGAAACUGGCAGGCUGGAGUCUUGUAGAGGGGGUUAGAAUUCCAGGUGUCGCGGUGAAAUGCGUAGAGAUCUGGAGGAAUACCGGUGGCGAAGACGGCCCACUGGACAAAGACUGACGCUCAGGUGCGAAAGCGUGGGGAGCAAACAGGAUUAGAUACACUGGUAGUCCACGCUGUAAACGAUGUCGACUUGGAGGUUGUUCCCUUGAGGAGUGGCUUCCGGAGCUAACGCGUUAAGUCGACCGCCUGGGGAGUACGGCCGCUAAGGUUAAACUCAAAUGAAUGACGAAGGCGAAGUCGUUUAACCUGCAGACUAGUCCCUUGAUGAGGUAUC